GCAGAGUAGAUCAGAAAGCGUUAAGUAUCACCUGAACGGGGAGUUGUCAGGUGGGCGAAAAGAUUUUUCUUGCGGUUUUUUGGUCGCAUCCCGCUGU
RNAcentral lists this non-coding RNA (97 nucleotides) under uncultured Clostridium sp. Its description in RNAcentral is "THF riboswitch". It matches the Rfam family "THF (Tetrahydrofolate) riboswitch aptamer". From Rfam's summary of the family: THF riboswitch presents a pseudoknot that joins P1-P2 and the loop of P3 and two THF binding. The record is from RNAcentral. Lineage: Bacteria; Bacillati; Bacillota; Clostridia; Eubacteriales; Clostridiaceae.